UUGGAUGCUUUCUGUCUUUAUCCUCAGGGUGUACAGGCUAUUAUAUCCUUGAUAGUGGGUGUGCUAGUGUAUGGCCUGAGUGUGCUUCCAGGAUGAUGGAGGCAAUGGGCAGUUCUAAUAGCCAGUGUUUGGUUGCUGGGCCCUUGACAGUGGUGAGGACCAGAAUAGAGUCUGAUACUGGUUUCAGGGUCCUGUGAAGUGGCAGUGACCCUCAGGAAGGUGUAGGAAGCACACGGUGGCGCCGGCAGCAGCAGCAGCAGCAGCACAGCAGCAGCAGCAGCAGCAGCAGCAGCAGCAGCAGCAGCAGCAGCAGCAGCAGAGUGUGUGUAUUCCUAGGGAGGUGAGAGCAACAACUGGUGGCUCUCAUUUGCAGUGCCCUCCACUGUGCUGACCCCUGAGGUGACUGGGGCUACUGAUAGUGCCUGUUCAUGGACCUCUAGUGGUGGCAGGCCAUGCUUACCUUUGGAGUCUGAGAUAGUUGCAGCCAUAGCCUGUGCAAGAGGAAUCCUGCCAUCUGUAGCCCAUGCAAGAUGUGCCCUGCUGCCUGAGAGCCUAUGAAUGCACAAAGGUAUUCCUAUGGAAGUCCCACCCCUCUUCUUCUAGCCCUCCCCAGCCCUGCAGACCCAGGCCUUCUCUUUGGCUCCCUUGGCUGUGGUGCUCCACUCCUCAGCCUGUGGAGCACUGCUCCUUAGACCCCCAGGCUGUCUCCACACAAUAAAUCCUAGUCCUCUCCCCAGAACUGACUUCUGGAGCCUGAAGUGCCCAACCCUUGCCCAAGUAUCUCAGGAUGUGGUGUCCAGGCCCAGUGGUACCAAUGGUACCAAGCUCUUUCUCUGCUUUGCCCUCCUCAGUCCAGCUGCUAUGCUUUUCUCCCAGGCUUUGAGGUCCUUCCAUCUUGGCUAAUCUCCCCAUCAGGUGGUGCAGGUUCCUUUCCUCUUUCAUAGCUCCUUCUUAGGUGUGCUGGUCCCAUGCUAAUUCCAUUUUCCCCCUUUUUGGAGGUUUAAAGUCUUCUGCCAUUGUUCAGUAGAUGUUCUGUGCAAAUCAUUCUUCAAUAUAGACUUUUUUUGAUGUGUUUGUGGGAGAAGUUGAGGGCCAUGUCUUACUCUUCUGUCAUCUUUAUCCUAUAUCCUGUUUUCUUCCUUCUUGCUUUGAAUUUAUUUUGAUCUUAUUUUUAUAGUUCUUGAGGUAAGAACUUGGGUUAUUUACUUAUACUUUUCUUCUUUUCUAAUGUAAAUAUUAGAAUGCAGUAUACAUUUCUCUCUCAACAUUGCUUUGGCUGCUUCUCACAUACUUUCAUUUUAUUUAGUUCUAUAUAUUUUCAUAUUUUCUUUGAGAUUUCCCCUUUGACUGAUGAAUUACUUACAGUAUUAUUUAUUUUCUGUCUACAUAUAGAUUUUCAUGCUGUCUUUCUAUUAACUUCUAGUUUGAGACUAUUGUGGUUGUAGAAAACACUCAGUAUAAUUUUGGUUCUUUUACAUUUAGUGAGUUUGAUUUUAGGGCCAGGAAAGGGUUGCCUUGGUGAAAUUUCCAAGGAUGCUUGAGGAAAACAAUGUGUAUUCAGAGUUCCUGCUGUGGCUUAGCGGACCACCUGACUAGUAUCCAUGAAGAUGCAGGUUUGAUCCCUGGCCUCACUCAGCAGGUUAAGUAUCCAGUGUUGCUGCAAGCUGUGGUAUAGGCUGCAGAUGCAGCUUGGUUCUGGUUAUGCUGUGGCUGUGGCAUAGGCCCCAGCUGCAGCUUUGAUUCAACAGCUAGCUUGGGACCUUCCAUUUGCUGCAGGUGUGGCCCUAAAAAGAAAAAAAAAUGUGUGUUCUUCCGUUCGGUGGAAUGUUCUGUGUCAGUUACAAGCCUGUUGGUUGUGUUUUUUAAAUCCUGAGUAUCCUUGAUUAUUUCAUAGUUAUUGGGGAUGAGUUCUGAAAUCUCCAACUAUAAUUACAGAUUUGUCUAUUUCUCUUGUCUUCUCUGUCAGUUUUCGUUUCAUGUCCUGUGAAACUCUACACCUUGGCUAGGACAUUUUUAGGAUAAUUAUGUCUUUCUGGUGGAUUGAUCCUUUUAUCAUUGUGGGAGGUCCUUCUUUGUCUCUGGCCAUUUUCUUUGCUCUGGAGUCUACUUUAUUAGAUAUUAACUUAGCCAAUCCUACUUUUAAAAAAAUAAUGUUUACGUGGUGUAUCUUUUCCUACUCUGUCACUGAAUUUAAAGUGUGCUUCUUAUAUAAAGUUUAUAGUUGGGCCCUGCUUAUUUUCUUAAUCCAUUAUGCCAACUGCUAUCUUUUCAUUGGUAUUUUUAGACCAUUUCUAAAUAAGGUACUUACUGAUAUAUUAGAUAUUAAGUCUGCCUUAAAAAUUUUUUUUUUCUAGGAGAAAAUACUGCUACCAUGUCCUGGUGGCCAUCUGCCACACACAGUGAGGUGUUGCUCCAGGACCUUGUUUCAGACGUGGAAGCUCCCCUGUCCAUUAAACCAUUCAUAUCUCCGAAAAUUUUUUUUUCUAUUUGUUUCUUCUGGUUCUCAUUCCUCUACCUUUUUUUCUUUGUUCUUGUGAAUUAUUUGAACACUUUUUAAGGAUUUCAUCUUGGUUUAUUUGUACUGCUUUUGGGCAUACGCUUUUAUAUAUUUUUCACUCUAGUGCUCUAGGUCAGUAUUAUAAUAUAGAUAUGUGCCUUAUCUGUCUAAGUAUCACUUUACCCCUUAGUGUUGAGUGUGGAAACUUCAGUUCUAUGUAGGUACAUUUAACUGCCUCAUUUUUAAAAGCCAUUGUCAGGAGUGUCAUAUGAUGUUAUAAUUUUUGUUUCAAUCAUUAAAUAUGAUUUAUAAAGCUCAUUAGGAAAAGGGAAAACAUAUCUAUAUUUUUCUUUUUACCACUGUUUCUUCAUUUAUCAUUUGCUUCCUUUUGAAGAACUUUUUUUAGCCAAUCCUUAAGGAUAGGUCGGUUAGCACCCAAUUAUUAUUUUUUUCCCCUUAUCUGACAAUGUUUUCAUUUUCUCUUCCUUCUCAAAGAAUAGCUUCACUAGAUACAGACUUCUUGAUUGACAGAUCUUUUCUUUCAGAACUUGAAAAAUAUUGUACCAUUUCAUUCUGUUUCCAUAAUUUGGUUUCUGAUAAGGAUUCUGCUGAUAUUUGAGUUGGUGUUUCCUUAUCCAUAGUGUAUUCUUUUUUUUGCUUGUUUUCAGAUGUUUCUCUUUCUCUAUAGUUUACAGAACUUCAUUAUGAUGUAUCUUGAUCUAUUGAGUUUUAUUCUGAGUUUUCUUAGCCUUUUUGAGCUGUAGUUUUGUGUCUCUUGCUAAAUUGGGGAAAUUUUCAGCCAAUAUUUCUUCAAAUACUCUUUCUGCCCCAUUAUCUUUCUCUUCUCCUGCUGGGGAUUUGAUGAUACGAUUAUCAGAUCCUACGUUAUUUUCCUAAAGAUCUCUUCCUAUAAAGGCUCUGCCCAUUUGUUUCCACAUAUCUUCUCUUUGUUGUUAAGAUUGACUGAAUUUUAUUGAUAUGUUCUCAAGUUUAUUGAUUUGAUCCUCUGUAAUUUCCAUUUUACUGUUUUUUUUUGUUGUUUGUUUUUUUUAGUUUUAAAAUUUUAUGGCUGCAUCCAAGGCAUAUGGAAUUUCUCCAGGCCAGAUAUUGAAUUGAGUUUGAGCUGUAGCUGUGGCAAUGCUGAAUACUUUAACCCACCAUACAAGGCCAGAGAUUGAACCUGAGCUUCCACAGUGACCCAAGAUGCUGCAGUAGGAGUCCUAACCCACUGAAUCAUGGUGGGAACAACUCCAUUCUACUGUUGAGCUCAUCCAUUGUUAUUUUUUUCCUCUUGUGUUUUUCAGUUCUAUAAUUUCCACUUGGUUAUUUUUAUGGCUCUUGGUUCUUUUCUGAAAAUUUCUAUUUUUUUCAUUUUUUCAAGAGAAUUUGUAGUUGGUGAUUACAAAUUUGUGAUUUGAAUUUGUGAUUGAUGAUUGAAGCAUUUUUAUGACAACUGCUUAAAAAACCCUUGUCAACUAAUUCCAACAUCUGAUUCAUCUUGUUGUUGGUGUCAAUUGAUGGUCUUUUCUCAUUCAAGAUGUUUCUUAAUAUGAAAGGUGACCUUCAACUGUGUCCUGGCUAUUUUGUCUAUUAGAUUAGGAGGUUUUGAGUCCUUCCUAUUCAAAGCUUUCACUUGAGUCUGUUGUAACCCUGUGUAGGUUUAGUGUGUAACUCCUAUGCAACUCUUGUGGGUUGUGGUUCCAAUGGCAGGUGAUGUUCAGGGAUACUGCAAUGCUGUCUUCUUCUGUUUGGUUUAUCUGGUGCCCCAAGGACCCCAGUGUUGUCUGACAGUGCUGCCUCAGGAGGAGAAGGGGUUUCCCCAGGUGGGACACAUAGGUGUUCUUGGCAAGGGAGGGCAGUUCCACAUUUACACACUUUCUGCUCUUCCUUGGAGUCUCUGGGUGAGGGACACAGUGGACCCAUAGGGACAAAGAGGCUUCCAGGGACACAUUGCCUUCUGUGACUGGGCCUGUCUGCUUUUUCUGCCUGUAUGUCCUUGGUCUGGAUUGGGGAGGAGAAUUGGGCAAUUUUGUAUAAGAUUCAUCAUCUUAAGAUUCAUCACUUACUCUGUGACCCAGAGUCCUACUCUUAAGUAUUUAUCCAAGAGAAAUGAAAAUGCAUGUUCACACAAAACCCUGUAUGUGAAUUGUCCUUAUGUUACAAAUGGAUAAUUAAUCUAUGAUGGGAUACUUUCAGCAACAAAAAGAAGAAAAUUAUUCAUGAAUGCCAAAUUAUAGUUGAUACUUAAAAGCAUUUUGCUAAGUGAAAUAAGAAUGGUCCAAAAGAUGAUUGAUUGUGUAAUUCAUUUUAUAUAACAUUAGAAAAGGCAAAAUUACAGAAAGGAAAGCAGAUCAAAGGUUGUUUUGCAUUGGAAGAGGGUUGUAUAUAAAAGGGUAACAUGGGUGAGCUUUUGGCUGAUGUAAUUGUUUGAUAUGAAAUGGUCGAUGUGAAAGUGUGAUGGUUGAUAUAAAACUCUAUUCAUUUGUCAAAAUCCAUAGGACUUUUUACUACAAAAGUGAACUUUAUUGAUAUAAUAUUUUGUAAUCAACCAGGAAGAAAGGUUGAAUGAGUCAAACUAUUUUACCGAUGACUCACAAGAGCACAAUGAGGGGAUAAGGAGAAAAAAAGAGCAUACCUAAGUUCAUAAAUUCAGUUUUGACCACAUAUUAUAAGGCUAAAUACAAAAAGAGCAAAUGUACUUUGGUGGAUGUGUUUGUUUCCCAGUGGGAUCAGAUUACACAUUUUGAAACCACUUUAUGUGUGUACUAGUGUUGAAUAAAUAAAUAAAUAUGGUAUAGAGAGUGAGAGCCAAGUUUCUCAUGUUGGAGAAAGGAGUUACACAUGAAGAAAGGGAGGGGGGAAGUAUAGAAUGAAUUCUAUGAUGCUGUAUUGAAGUUGGAGGCUCAAUAUGGACACAUGAAUGUAUAUGUAAAUAGAUGCAAAAAUAAAUAUAAGCAUAUGGAUGUGUGUUCACACGAGAUUGUAUACAUACAUGCAUUUCCCAGCCCUGUCCACUGAGAGGAAAUGGAUGCUAUGUGACCCAGGAGCAAUGAGCAUAACUUGUGUCCAGGAGGUCUUGGUUUCAAAGUCAAUUUUCUUCUCCAACAAGAGGAAAAUGUUGGUCUAUUGAGAGAUAGUUGACUCCAAAACUGUGUCAGGGAAAAUGCUCAGUGAGCCUGGAACAGCUUUUGGUGCCAGUAAGUAACUGAUAAA
Molecule: long non-coding RNA, 5710 nt
Filed under: Sus scrofa (pig)
Lineage: Eukaryota; Metazoa; Chordata; Mammalia; Artiodactyla; Suidae
Description: lncRNA (ENSSSCG00050031386.1)
Source: RNAcentral